UAGGGAAUCUUCGGCAAUGGACGAAAGUCUGACCGAGCAACGCCGCGUGAGUGAAGAAGGUUUUCGGAUCGUAAAACUCUGUUGUUAGAGAAGAACAAGGACGUUAGUAACUGAACGUCCCCUGACGGUAUCUAACCAGAAAGCCACGGCUAACUACGUGCCAGCAGCCGCGGUAAUACGUAGGUGGCAAGCGUUUUCCGGAUUUAUUGGGCGUAAAGCGAGCGCAGGCGGUUUCUUAAUUGUGAUGUGAAAGCCCCCGGCUCAACCGGGGAGGGUCAUUGGAAACUGGGAGACUUGAGUGCAGAAGAGGAGAGUGGAAUUCCAUGUGUAGCGGUGAAAUGCGUAGAUAUAUGGAGGAACACCAGUGGCGAAGGCGGCUAUCUGGUCUGUAACUGACGCUGAGGCUCGAAAGCGUGGGGAGCAAACAGG
RNAcentral lists this ribosomal RNA (429 nucleotides) under Gemmatimonadota bacterium. RNAcentral describes it as "Gemmatimonadetes bacterium partial 16S ribosomal RNA". It matches the Rfam family "Bacterial small subunit ribosomal RNA", at positions 355 to 776 of the family's 1533-position model. Lineage: Bacteria; Pseudomonadati; Gemmatimonadota. The record is from RNAcentral.